AUGUUUGGCAAAUCCAAUCAAAAGGGAAUUAAUCUGAAAAGGAAGAGAAAAGGAGAGGAAGGAAGGAAGGAAGAAAAAGAAGGCAGGAAGGGAAAGAAGGAAAGAAGGAAAGAAGGAAAGAAAGAAAGAAAGAAGGAAAGAAAGAAAGAAAGAAAGAAAGAAAGAAAGAAAGAAAGAAAGAAAGAAAGAAAGAAAGAAAGAAAGAAAGAAAGAAAGAAAGAAAGAAAGAAAGAAAGAAAGAAAGAAAGAAAGAAAGAAAGAAAGAAAGAAAGAAAGAAAGAAGGAAAGGAUGGAAGGAAGGAAGGAAGGAAGGAAGGAAGGAAGGAAGGAAGGAAGGAAUGAAGGAAGGAAAGAAAGAAGGAAAGAAAGAAAGAAAGAAAGAAAGAAAGAAAGAUAGAAAGAAAGACAGAAAGAAAGAUAGACAGACAGAAAGAAAGAAAGAAAGAAAGAAAGAAAGAAAGAAAGAAAGAAAGAAAGAAAGAAAGAAAGAAAGGAAGGAAGGAAGGAAGGAAGGGAAGGAUCGAAGGUACGCACGCAAGGAAGGAAGGAAGGAAAGCUAGGGAAUGAAGGAAGGGAAGGCAGGAAGUAAGG
RNAcentral lists this long non-coding RNA (591 nucleotides) under Monodelphis domestica (gray short-tailed opossum). RNAcentral's name for it is "lncRNA (ENSMODG00000028441.2)". The record is from RNAcentral. Lineage: Eukaryota; Metazoa; Chordata; Mammalia; Didelphimorphia; Didelphidae.